CGCAGCGCGUGCUUCAUGAUCACGGUCUUGUAGGGCAGGCCCUUGAGGAUCGCGGUCCGGAUGUAAUGGGUCGUCAUCACCUCGGCCAUCGAGGCCCGUGUCAUGCGCGCGACAUAGCCGAAAUCGUAAAGCACGAGGACCAUCGUCGGCAGGAUCAUCUCCUGGAUGUUCCAGCCGCGUGA
RNAcentral lists this non-coding RNA (182 nucleotides) under Oceanibacterium hippocampi. RNAcentral describes it as "Sneathiella sp. BFLP-8 Ruegeria cis52 sRNA". It matches the Rfam family "Ruegeria cis52 sRNA". From Rfam's summary of the family: Cis-encoded. Targets oligo/dipeptide ABC transporter. Lineage: Bacteria; Pseudomonadati; Pseudomonadota; Alphaproteobacteria; Sneathiellales; Sneathiellaceae. The record is from Rfam by way of RNAcentral.